UCUAGCAGGAGUGGUCUUGCCACGAAAUACAGUUUGUAGUUGCAAAGAACUUUAUUCAAAAAAACACUCCUGUGUCUCACAGCGACUU
Non-coding RNA from Caenorhabditis elegans, 88 nucleotides. Lineage: Eukaryota; Metazoa; Nematoda; Chromadorea; Rhabditida; Rhabditidae. The record is from Ensembl.